GGGUGUAGUUCAGUUGGUUAGAACGCUACCUUGACAUGGUAGAGGUCACAGGUUCGAGUCCUGUCAUCCUC
RNAcentral lists this transfer RNA (71 nucleotides) under Candidatus Protoclostridium gallicola. It matches the Rfam family "tRNA". From Rfam's summary of the family: Transfer RNA (tRNA) molecules are approximately 80 nucleotides in length. Their secondary structure includes four short double-helical elements and three loops (D, anti-codon, and T loops). Further hydrogen bonds mediate the characteristic L-shaped molecular structure. tRNAs have two regions of fundamental functional importance: the anti-codon, which is responsible for specific mRNA codon recognition, and the 3' end, to which the tRNAs corresponding amino acid is attached (by aminoacyl-tRNA synthetases). tRNAs cope with the degeneracy of the genetic code in two manners: having more than one tRNA (with a specific anti-codon) for a particular amino acid; and 'wobble' base-pairing, i.e. permitting non-standard base-pairing at the 3rd anti-codon position. RNAcentral also lists the same sequence under 1 other name. Lineage: Bacteria; Bacillati; Bacillota; Clostridia. The record is from RNAcentral.